CACAGCCAAGCUGGUUUGAGAGCAGGGCCGUCCUGACUCUUAGAGGACACAGGACAUCGGCUCCGGGGCCGUCCAUUGGGAAAGGAUGUACCUGGAGCCAGGGCAGGACAAGCCGUGGGCUUGGAGAAGAUGACUUGGCUCCACCUUCCGGCUGGACAGAGCUGCCUUCCCAAUCUGCUGCCUCCUCCUUUGAGCACCCACUAUGUGCCGGGUGCUUCAUAUUUGCCGCCUCUUAACCCACACCACCACCCUCCACAGAAGAGAACAGUCUCCAUUUUGCAAGUGAAAAAAACUAAAGUUCAGAGAGGUUAGGAUGCAGCCUUGGUGCCCAAAGAUGGAGCUGCCUGCUUACGACCAUGGGGAUUAAAGACACAGCUGGCGAUGGUGCCAUCGGGAAGCUGGGAGGAGCCUGGUUCCUGACGGCUCCUUGAAGCCCUGGUAUCAGCCUGGCAGCUGCCAACCUUGAGAGUCCUCGUGACAGGAGGAAAAUAAGGCCAUAUUGGUUAAGCUGCUGUGGUUAGCGCAUGAAGCAAACCGAAUUGUAACCAAUGCGAUUCUAAUUAAAGACAAUG
This is a long non-coding RNA of Equus quagga, 572 nucleotides long. RefSeq lists it as uncharacterized. Lineage: Eukaryota; Metazoa; Chordata; Mammalia; Perissodactyla; Equidae. The record is from RefSeq and is a predicted model, not a curated record. The transcript has 3 exons.